Molecule: ribosomal RNA, 500 nt
Filed under: uncultured bacterium
Lineage: Bacteria
Description: partial 16S ribosomal RNA
Rfam family: Bacterial small subunit ribosomal RNA
Source: RNAcentral
AUUGAACGCUGGCGGAAUGCUUUACACAUGAAAGUCGAACGGCAGCAUGGACUUCGGUCUGGUGGCGAGUGGCGAACGGGUGAGUAAUGUAUCGGAACGUGCCCAGUCGUGGGGGAUAACGUAGUGAAAAUUACGCUAAUACCGCAUACGAUCUAUGGAUGAAAGCGGGGGAUCGCAAGACCUCGCGCGAUUGGAUCGGCCGAUAUCGGAUUAGGUAGUUGGUGGGGUAAAGGCCCACCAAGCCAACGAUCUGUAGCUGGUCUGAGAGGACGACCAGCCACACUGGAACUGAGACACGGUCCAGACUCCUACGGGAGGCAGCAGUGGGGAAUUUUGGACAAUGGGCGAAAGCCUGAUCCAGCCAUUCCGCGUGCAGGAUGAAGGCCCUCGGGUUGUAAACUGCUUUUGUACAGAACGAAAAGGUUUCUACUAAUACUAGGAGCUCAUGACGGUACUGUAAGAAUAAGCACCGGCUAACUACGUGCCAGCCGCCGCCGUAA